AGUGAACGCUGGCGGUAGGCCUAACACAUGCAAGUCGAACGGCAGCACAGUAAGAGCUUGCUCUUACGGGGGGCCAGUGGCGGACGGGUGAGGAAAACAUCGUAAUCUACUUUUUGGUGGGGCUUAAGGUAGGGAAACUUACGCCAAUACCGCAGCCCACCUUCGGUGGAAAGGGUGGGAUCUUUGGACCUUGCGCGGUUGAAUGAGCCGAUGUUGGAUUAGCUAGUUGGCGGGGUACAGGCCCACCAUGGCGACGAUCCGUAGCUGGUGUGAGAGGAUGGUCAGCCACAGUGGAAGUGAGACGCGAUCCAGACACUUACGGGAGGCAGCGGUGGCGAAUAUUGGAAGAUGGGCGGAAGAUUGCACCAGCCAUGCCGGGUGGAUGAAGAAAGCCCUCGGGUUGUAAAGCCCUUUUGUGGGGAAAGAAAGGCAGCAGGUUAAUACCCCGCUGUUCGGCCGGUACCGAUAGAAUAAGCACCGGCUACUUUGGU
Molecule: ribosomal RNA, 491 nt
Filed under: uncultured bacterium
Lineage: Bacteria
Description: partial 16S ribosomal RNA
Rfam family: Bacterial small subunit ribosomal RNA
Source: RNAcentral